GAAAAAGGACGCAAGAACUGCUAAUUCAUGCUUCCAUGCUUAACAACAUGGCUUUUUCA
RNAcentral lists this transfer RNA (59 nucleotides) under Helogale parvula (dwarf mongoose). Its description in RNAcentral is "tRNA-Ser". RNAcentral also lists the same sequence under 1 other name. The record is from RNAcentral. Lineage: Eukaryota; Metazoa; Chordata; Mammalia; Carnivora; Herpestidae.